UAUGUGAUCGUCUCUCGCAUAUCAAUAAGCGGAGGAAAAGAAACUAACAAGGAUUCCCCUAGUAACGGCGAGUGAAGCGGGAAGAGCUCAAAUUUGAAAUCUUAAAGGGUUUCCCUUUACGAAUUGUAGUUUAAAGAAGUGUUUUCUGUUGAGGUUUUGGUAAAAGUUCUUUGGAAUAGGACAUCAUAGAGGGUGAGAAUCCCGUAUUUGACCUUUACUUUCAACUUUGUGAUACACUUUCAAAGAGUCGGAUUGUUUGGGAAUGCAGUCCAAAAUGGGUGGUAAAUUUCAUCUAAAGCUAAAUAUUGGCGAGAGACCGAUAGCGAACAAGUACCGUGAGGGAAAGAUGAAAAGAACUUUGAAAAGAGAGUUAAACAGUACGUGAAAUUGUCAAAAGGGAAGCGUUUGACACCAGUGUUGUUUUUCUGAAAAUCAAUUAAAGAACUGUUUAUGCUAAGCUGUUUAGACUUUAUCAGCUAAUCUGUUUAGUUUUGAGCUUUUCUUUAAUGCACUUUUCAGUUAACAAGUCAACAUCAAUUUCUUUUGCUGUAAAAAAGCUUGAGGAAGGUGGCUUGAGAUUCGUCUUAAGUGUUUAUAGCCUCUUGCCUAUGCAGUCGGAGAGAUUGAGGUCUGCAGCGUAGAUCCUUCGGGGCUAAAUGCAUUUGUGCUAAGUUAUAGCAUUUUAUAGACAACUUGUUGACUAUGAUUUGUCUUGUAGCUUACUCGCUUAUGUUAUUUUACCUACGCUUAGGAUGUUGACGCGCGUGUGUGCGUG
This 775-nucleotide ribosomal RNA is filed under the name uncultured Neocallimastigales. Its description in RNAcentral is "partial large subunit ribosomal RNA". It matches the Rfam family "Eukaryotic large subunit ribosomal RNA", at positions 24 to 639 of the family's 3401-position model. The record is from RNAcentral. Lineage: Eukaryota; Fungi; Neocallimastigomycota; Neocallimastigomycetes; Neocallimastigales.